CCCGCUCAGAAACUUAAAGGAAUUGACGGGGCCCGGCACAAGCGGUGGAGCAUGUGGUUUAAUUCGAUGAUACGCGAGGAACCUUACCUGGGCUCAAAUGUAUGUUGACGUAUUCUGAAAGGGAUACUUCUUCGGACAAUAUACAAGGUGCUGCAUGGUUGUCGUCAGCUCGUGCCGUGAGGUGUCGGGUUAAGUCCCAUAACGAGCGCAACCCCUAUCAUUAGUUGCCAUCAGGUCAAGCUGGGGACUCUAAUGAAACUGCCUACGCAAGUAGUGAGGAAGGUGGGGAUGACGUCAAAUCAGCACGGCCCUUACGUCCAGGGCUACACACGUGCUACAAUGGCCGAUACAGAGGGCAGCUACCUGGUGACAGGAUGCAAAUCUCCAAAGUCGGUCUCAGUUCGGAUCGGAGUCUGCAACCCGACUCCGUGAAGUUGGAUUCGCUAGUAAUCGCGCAUCAGCCAUGGCGCGGUGAAUACGUUCCCGGGCCUU
This 492-nucleotide ribosomal RNA is filed under the name uncultured Sphingobacteriales bacterium. Its description in RNAcentral is "bacterial SSU rRNA". It matches the Rfam family "Bacterial small subunit ribosomal RNA", at positions 888 to 1382 of the family's 1533-position model. Lineage: Bacteria; Pseudomonadati; Bacteroidota; Sphingobacteriia; Sphingobacteriales. The record is from RNAcentral.